GCAACAGUGAACACUGAACAAUCUUAGCAAAUCCCCAAUUUGGUUAACAUCGCCAUCACCAAUACCUCGCAAAACCUCAACCUGUAUUCAUGAUUCAGCCUUCACUUUAUGCUGCCAUAGCGGAAGGAUGAUGCUAGCUAGGAGCCGUAGACGUCUUUCACUAGCCGCUUCUACUCCAGUUCUGAAAAAUAGUUUUCGGGUUCAUCAGAUAAUGGGUAUGAUUGAUUCCAUUUCCUAUCUUCAUACUUGUAGUUCCAGCAGCAAUAGUAGUGGACAUGUGAGAGAAAAGAGCAAAUAUGUUUCAUUUAGUAUAAUUAAUGAUGCCUUAGCUUCAUUUAAUCAGAUGAUUCAUAUGAACACCCUACCUUCUACUGCAGAAUUUAAUAAAUUGUUAUCUGCACUUGUGAGAAUGAAACAUUACGAAACAGUGAUUUCUUUGUGGAAACAAAUGGAAUUUCUGGGAAUUUCACUUGAUAUUUAUACCAUUAACAUUUUGACUAAUUGCUUCUGCCACUUGCGCCAUGUGGAUUUUGGAUUCUCUCUUUUGGGGAAAACAAUCAAACUUGGCUUUCAGGUUGAAAUUAUAAUGCUUAAUACUUUAAUUAAUGGGCUUUGUAGAAAGAGUAAGAUUGUUAAAGCAGUGGAAUUGUUUGAUGAGAUAGUGGCUAAUGGGUAUAAACCUAAUGUUUAUACAUAUACUGUG
This 703-nucleotide unclassified non-coding RNA is filed under the name Hevea brasiliensis (rubber tree). Lineage: Eukaryota; Viridiplantae; Streptophyta; Magnoliopsida; Malpighiales; Euphorbiaceae. The record is from RNAcentral.